RNAcentral lists this long non-coding RNA (1023 nucleotides) under Gadus morhua (Atlantic cod). Its description in RNAcentral is "lncRNA (ENSGMOG00000031356.1)". The record is from RNAcentral. Lineage: Eukaryota; Metazoa; Chordata; Actinopteri; Gadiformes; Gadidae.
AUGAAGAGUGAGAAAAAGAGAGGGUCGGGGCAAGACGGAGAACAUCCCAGAUUGAGAGAGACAGAUGUAAGGGAAAAAGGGCGUGCAGCGGUCUGUUUGUGUGCGUGCGCAUGUGUGUGUGUGUGUGUGUCUGCAUGUGCGUGUGGGGGUACGUGCCGAGGCAGGGGGGCUAUGUCGUUGCACCGCGCAAAACGCUGGGAUAGUAUGAAUGAGUCCCGGAGCCGUGACCUUGGCUCUGCCAUUGUUGCAGCGCUCUCUCCGCCGUGGCCUCCCAGGCAUGCGUUCCCACGUGCAUUAAAGCACUCCGCAAAACCCUGCUUACCUUCCCGGGCCACUCCCAGGCCCCGCCUGGGAACCAGCCGCCCUCCCCCGCUUGCGGCCACUCCUAAUUUCUCUCUCGCCCUCCGUCUCUCCCACUCUGCCUCUCUUUCUCUCCCUGUAUUUUCCUCUCUCCUUUUAGUCGGUAAAUCCAUCUCGCCCUCUCUCUCUUUAGCAUCUCCCUCACUGACGCUCUCUCGAUCCAACGCCCUCCUCUCUCUUUAUCCCCCUUUCCCUCCAUCUCUCUUCUUUAUCUCUCUCAAUCUCUCUCUCCCUCCCCCCUCCCUUUUUAUAUCUGUCUAUCUCUCUUUAGUAUCUCUCUCACUCUCACUCUCUCCAUCUCCCUCCCCCCUCUCUCAUUAUCUCCCUCUUUCUCUCUUUUGUAUCUCUCUCACUCUCUCCAUCACCCUCCCCCCUCUCUCAUUAUCUCCCUCUUUCUCUCUUUUGUAUCUCUCUCAUUCUCUCCAUCUCCCUCCCCCCUCUCUCAUUAUCUCCCUCUUUCUCUCUUUUGUAUCUCUCUCAUUCUCUCCAUCUCCCUCCCCCCUCUCUCUUAAUCCCCCUCUUUCUCUCUUUAGAUACCUCUCUCACUCUCUCGGUCUCCCUCCCCCCUCUCUCUUAAUCCCCCUCUUUCUCUCUUUAGAUACCUCUCUCACUCUCUCGGUCUCCCUCCGCCCUCUCUCUUUAACUCCCUCUGUCUCUCUUUAA